Pongo abelii (Sumatran orangutan) is the source of this 147-nucleotide unclassified non-coding RNA. It matches the Rfam family "Metazoan signal recognition particle RNA". From Rfam's summary of the family: The signal recognition particle (SRP) is a universally conserved ribonucleoprotein. The record is from Ensembl. NCBI's taxonomy places the organism in Eukaryota, Metazoa, Chordata, Mammalia, Primates, Hominidae.
GCUAGGCAUGGAGGCGCAUGCCUGUAAUCUAACUACUUGGGAGGCUGAGACAGGAGAAUCACUUGAGCUCAGGAGGUUGAGGCUACAGUGAACUAUGAUCAUGCCACUGCACUCCAGCCUGGGCAACAGAGAAAGACCCUGUCUUUG